ACAAGGGUGGCUCAGUGGUUAGAGUGCUGGACUUGGAUCUGGGAGAGUAGGGUUCAAAUCCUGCAAACCUGUUAUGUA
Molecule: non-coding RNA, 78 nt
Organism: Podarcis lilfordi (Lilford's wall lizard)
Lineage: Eukaryota; Metazoa; Chordata; Lepidosauria; Squamata; Lacertidae
Source: the annotation of a GenBank genome assembly